Molecule: ribosomal RNA, 253 nt
Filed under: uncultured bacterium
Lineage: Bacteria
Description: partial 16S ribosomal RNA
Rfam family: Bacterial small subunit ribosomal RNA
Source: RNAcentral
UACGUAGGCAGCAAGCGUUGUUCGGAAUUACUGGGCGUAAAGAGUGUGUAGGCGGUGCUCUAAGUUCGGUGUGAAAUCUCCCGGCUCAACUGGGAGGGUGCGCCGGAAACUGGAAUGCUUGAGCGUGGGAGAGGAAAGCGGAAUUCCUGGUGUAGCGGUGAAAUGCGUAGAUAUCAGGAGGAACACCGGUGGUGUAGACGGCUUUCUGGACCGUAACUGACGCUGAGACACGAAAGCGUGGGGAGCAAACAGG